Molecule: ribosomal RNA, 518 nt
Filed under: Listeria monocytogenes
Lineage: Bacteria; Bacillati; Bacillota; Bacilli; Caryophanales; Listeriaceae
Description: partial 23S ribosomal RNA
Rfam family: Bacterial large subunit ribosomal RNA
Source: RNAcentral
CUGAGUACGGCGGAACACGUGAAAUUCCGUCGGAAUCCGGGAGGACCAUCUCCCAAGGCUAAAUACUCCCUAGUGACCGAUAGUGAACCAGUACCGUGAGGGAAAGGUGAAAAGCACCCCGGAAGGGGAGUGAAACAGUUCCUGAAACCGUGUGCCUACAAGUAGUUAGAGCCCGUUAAUGGGUGAUAGCGUGCCUUUUGUAGAAUGAACCGGCGAGUUACGAUUUGUUGCAAGGUUAAGCGGAAAAAGCGGAGCCGUAGCGAAAGCGAGUCUGAAUAGGGCGCAUAAGUAACAGGUCGUAGACCCGAAACCAGGUGAUCUACCCAUGUCCAGGAUGAAGGUAAGGUAAUACUUACUGGAGGUCCGAACCCACGCACGUUGAAAAGUGCGGGGAUGAGGUGUGGGUAGCGGAGAAAUUCCAAUCGAACUUGGAGAUAGCUGGUUCUCUCCGAAAUAGCUUUAGGGCUAGCCUCGAGGUAAAGAGUCAUGGAGGUAGAGCACUGUUUGGACUAGGGGCC